AAGGUCCAGUGUGUUACACCUAUCAUCUUCUAUUGCGUCGUCCUCCCAGGUAAUCAUCACGAUCUCCUUCCCCCCAUUCGUCAUUUUCGCAAAAAAUAAUAUUCAAAUGACCACAACAAGGGCAAUUUUGGAAAAAACUAUAUUUUUAUGUCAGAAUUACUAAAUUUUAUAAAUUGAACCAAACAUAUUAAUGCUAUAAACACUGUAAUCUAGUAUUACAUUACUGCAUUAAACCAAACAUGCUAAUACAACAUCAGUAG
Molecule: long non-coding RNA, 260 nt
Filed under: Ananas comosus (pineapple)
Lineage: Eukaryota; Viridiplantae; Streptophyta; Magnoliopsida; Poales; Bromeliaceae
Description: long non-coding RNA (ACOM_LNC000893)
Source: RNAcentral